This 474-nucleotide ribosomal RNA is filed under the name uncultured bacterium. RNAcentral describes it as "partial 16S ribosomal RNA". It matches the Rfam family "Bacterial small subunit ribosomal RNA", at positions 355 to 822 of the family's 1533-position model. The record is from RNAcentral.
UAGGGAAUCUUCCACAAUGGACGCAAGUCUGAUGGAGCAACGCCGCGUGAGUGAAGAAGGUUUUCGGACCGUAAAGCUCUGUUGUUGGUGAAGAAGGAUAGAGGUAGUAACUGGCCUUUAUUUGACGGUAAUCAACCAGAAAGUCACGGCUAACUACGUGCCAGCAGCCGCGGUAAUACGUAGGUGGCAAGCGUUGUCCGGAUUUAUUGGGCGUAAAGCGAGCGCAGGCGGAAGAAUAAGUCUGAUGUGAAAGCCCUCGGCUUAACCGAGGAAUUGCAUCGGAAACUGUUUUCUUGAGUGCAGAAGAGGAGAGUAGAACUCCAUGUGUAGCGGUGGAAUGCGUAGAUAUAUGGAAGAAUACCAGUGGCGAAGGCGGCUCUCUGGUCUGCAACUGACGCUGAGGCUCGAAAGCAUGGGUAGCGAACAGGAUUAGAUACCCUGGUAGUCCAUGCCGUAAACGAUGAGUGCUAAGUG